UACGAGGGGGGCGAGCGUUGUUCGGAAUUAUUGGACGUAAAGGGUGCGUAGGCGGUUUGUCGCGUCUGCUGUGAAAACCCGAGGCUCAACCUCGGGCCUGCAGUGGGUACGGGCAGACUAGAGUGCGGUAGGGGAGAUUGGAAUUCCUGGUGUAGCGGUGGAAUGCGCAGAUAUCAGGAGGAACACCAAUGGCGAAGGCAGAUCUCUGGGCCGUAACUGACGCUGAGGAGCGAAAGCGUGGGGAGCGAACAGG
RNAcentral lists this ribosomal RNA (253 nucleotides) under uncultured bacterium. RNAcentral describes it as "partial 16S ribosomal RNA". It matches the Rfam family "Bacterial small subunit ribosomal RNA", at positions 524 to 776 of the family's 1533-position model. The record is from RNAcentral.